Molecule: non-coding RNA, 122 nt
Organism: Caenorhabditis elegans
Lineage: Eukaryota; Metazoa; Nematoda; Chromadorea; Rhabditida; Rhabditidae
Source: Ensembl
AUUAUACGCAACGAGUUGAGAGCAUUUGGUGAGAGCAAAACGGGGGGACUUUUGAGAUACUCAGAAACGGCUUGGGGUCGCAACGACACUUGCGGCGCUAGGUGGAUUCUCUUUCUCUGAGA